RNAcentral lists this ribosomal RNA (1486 nucleotides) under Acinetobacter baumannii. Its description in RNAcentral is "partial 23S ribosomal RNA". It matches the Rfam family "Bacterial large subunit ribosomal RNA", at positions 1465 to 2925 of the family's 2925-position model. Lineage: Bacteria; Pseudomonadati; Pseudomonadota; Gammaproteobacteria; Moraxellales; Moraxellaceae. The record is from RNAcentral.
UGAGAGGACGGAGAAGGCUAAAUCAGCCUGGCGUUGGUUGUCCAGGUGAAAGGAUGUAGGCAUGUAUCUUAGGCAAAUCCGGGGUACUCUAUGCUGAGAUCUGAUAGCAAGCUGUACUUGUACAGCGAAGUGGUUGAUGCCAUGCUUCCAGGAAAAGUCUCUAAGCUUCAGUUACACAGGAAUCGUACCCGAAACCGACACAGGUGGUCAGGUCGAGUAGACCAAGGCGCUUGAGAGAACUCUGCUGAAGGAACUAGGCAAAAUGGUACCGUAACUUCGGGAGAAGGUACGCUGUUGUUGGUGAUGGAACUCGCUUCCUGAGCUGACGACAGCCGCAGAAACCAGGCCGCUGCAACUGUUUAUUAAAAACAUAGCACUCUGCAAACACGAAAGUGGACGUAUAGGGUGUGAUGCCUGCCCGGUGCUGGAAGGUUAAUUGAUGGGGUUAGCGUAAGCGAAGCUCUUGAUCGAAGCCCCAGUAAACGGCGGCCGUAACUAUAACGGUCCUAAGGUAGCGAAAUUCCUUGUCGGGUAAGUUCCGACCUGCACGAAUGGCAUAAUGAUGGCGGCGCUGUCUCCAGCAGAGGCUCAGUGAAAUCGAAAUCGCUGUGAAGAUGCAGUGUACCCGCGGCUAGACGGAAAGACCCCGUGAACCUUUACUGCAGCUUGACACUGAACUUUGACCUUACUUGUGUAGGAUAGGUGGGAGGCUUUGAAGCUGGAACGCUAGUUCCAGUGGAGCCGUCCUUGAAAUACCACCCUGGUAAUGUUGAGGUUCUAACUCUGUCCCGUGAUCCGGGACGAGGACCGUGUCUGGUGGGUAGUUUGACUGGGGCGGUCUCCUCCUAAAGAGUAACGGAGGAGUACGAAGGUGCGCUCAGCGUGGUCGGAAAUCACGCGUAGAGUAUAAAGGCAAAAGCGCGCUUAACUGCGAGACCCACAAGUCGAGCAGGUACGAAAGUAGGUCUUAGUGAUCCGGUGGUUCUGUAUGGAAGGGCCAUCGCUCAACGGAUAAAAGGUACUCUGGGGAUAACAGGCUGAUACCGCCCAAGAGUUCAUAUCGACGGCGGUGUUUGGCACCUCGAUGUCGGCUCAUCUCAUCCUGGGGCUGAAGCAGGUCCCAAGGGUAUGGCUGUUCGCCAUUUAAAGAGGUACGCGAGCUGGGUUUAGAACGUCGUGAGACAGUUCGGUCCCUAUCUACCGUGGGCGCUGGAAAUUUGAGAGGAUCUGCUCCUAGUACGAGAGGACCAGAGUGGACGAACCUCUGGUGUACCGGUUGUGACGCCAGUCGCAUCGCCGGGUAGCUAUGUUCGGAAGGGAUAACCGCUGAAAGCAUCUAAGCGGGAAGCCUACCUCAAGAUAAGAUUUCCCUAGGACUUUAUGUCCUCUAAAGAGCCGUUCGAGACUAGGACGUUGAUAGGUUGGAUGUGGAAGCAUAGUGAUAUGUGAAGCUGACCAAUACUAAUUGCUCGUGAGGCUUGACUAU